This is a long non-coding RNA of Scylla paramamosain (green mud crab), 529 nucleotides long. RefSeq lists it as uncharacterized. The record is from RefSeq and is a predicted model, not a curated record. Lineage: Eukaryota; Metazoa; Arthropoda; Malacostraca; Decapoda; Portunidae. The transcript has 3 exons.
CGGUUAUUAGUAUUAUAUCUAUGUCGUAUUUAUCUUUUACUUUAUGUUUCAGAUGCUGUUUAACUAGAAUUGUUGAGCCGUCGUGUGGCUCGUCACUGGAAUUUAUAAGGUUCAGUGUGUGAAAAAAAUUUAGUCAUCUACAUUGAAGAGGAUGAUGGUUCUCUUCGCUCACAGUUCAGGUGGUAACAUAGGCUCGAAACCUUGAUCUUUGAGAGCUGCAGAGCAUUGUGGCUGGAAAAUUUUAUUAACCUCGUCAUCUGAACGAAAAAGCCACACAUCAUGACCACAUGACGAGGCCACACAAACGAAGCAGAGCAAAACAUGCUACCUGAGCUAUCAUCACGUUUCGAGAUGGAAGAGCCACCAGUACCAUCCCCCUACACCAUCUACCAAAAAGAGGUGCAGAUUGUGCUCAUAGAAAACUGCCAGCAAAUGUAGGGCCGAAUGUUCAUAGUGUCUCAAUAAUGUGUGCCAAAUGCAUCACAAAAUCUACUGUUCAGACAACCGGAAAAUACUAAAAUAAAAGUAC